Molecule: non-coding RNA, 176 nt
Filed under: bovine gut metagenome
Source: RNAcentral
UUGGUUUCCGAAUGGUAACAACCAGAAGGAAUAAUUUGGAAUCCGGUGAAAAUCCGGGACAGUACCUGCUGCUGUAAAUCCCUGAUUAUUAAUCCGAUGCACUCUCUGCCACUGGCCGUUAAAGGGACCGGGAAGGCGCAUGGGACGGGAUAAGUCAGAAGACCUGCCAAUGAUAU